UCAAAUAAGAUUCAUAGAUAAUAUGAUGAUAAAUCCACAAUUCAUCGAAUCUCGACAAACACACCACAAAAGAAGAUUACAUCAGAUAGAUCUCCAUGAAGAUCAUGGAGAACUUUGUAUUGAAGAUCCAAGAGAGAGAAGAAGCCAUCUAGCUACUAGCUAUUCACCCGAAGGUCUAUGGUGAACUACUCACGCAUCAUCGGAGAGGUCAUGGUGAUGAUGAAGAAGCCAUCCGUUUCCGAAUCCCCCCUCCGGCAGGGCACCAGAAUAUGCCCCAGAUGGGAUCUUGCGGAGACAGAAGCUUGCGGCGGCGAAAAAGUAUAUUCGUGGAUCUCUCGCGCAGUUUUGUAUUUUUCGGGAAUUUAUAGGCGGAAGAGGUAGGGCAGACGAGCCACAGGGGGCCCACAAGCCUGCUAGGCGCACCGCCCUGGCCGCGCCUCGGGGGCUUGAGGCCUCUGCCUUGGUUCUCACGUCCCCGGCGUAUCUUCUGUUCCGGAAAAAUCUUUUCGGAAGUUUUAUUCCGUUUGGACACCAUUUAAAAUUCUCCUCUGAAAAGUGUCAAAAACACGGAAAAACAAGAACUGGCACUUGGCACUGAGUUAAUAAGUUAGUCCCAAAAAUCAUAUAAAAGGCAUACAAAACAUCCAAAGUUUGACAAGAUAAUAGCAUGGAACCGUCAAAAAUUAUAGAUACGUUGGAGACGUAUCAAGCGUCCCCAAGCUUAACUCCUGCUCGUCCUCGAGUAGGGAAGUGAUGAAGACUGAAUUUUUGAUCUGGAAUGCUACCUAGCAUAUUUGUCCUUUGUAACUUCUUUCAUGUGACAUGAAUGUUCAUAUCCGUAAGAUUCAAAACAAUAGUUCGC
This 862-nucleotide long non-coding RNA is filed under the name Hordeum vulgare. RNAcentral's name for it is "long non-coding RNA (HVUL_LNC009335)". Lineage: Eukaryota; Viridiplantae; Streptophyta; Magnoliopsida; Poales; Poaceae. The record is from RNAcentral.